GGCCAGACUCCUACGGGAGGCAGCAGUGGGGAAUAUUGCACAAUGGGGGAAACCCUGAUGCAGCGACGCCGCGUGAGUGAAGAAGUAUUUCGGUAUGUAAAGCUCUAUCAGCAGGGAAGAAAAUGACGGUACCUGACUAAGAAGCCCCGGCUAACUACGUGCCAGCAGCCGCGGUAAUACGUAGGGGGCAAGCGUUAUCCGGAUUUACUGGGUGUAAAGGGAGCGUAGACGGCAUGGCAAGUCAGAUGUGAAAGCCCGGGGCUCAACCCCGGGACUGCAUUUGAAACUGUCAGGCUGGAGUGCAGGAGAGGUAAGUGGAAUUCCUAGUGUAGCGGUGAAAUGCGUAGAUAUUAGGAGGAACACCAGUGGCGAAGGCGGCUUACUGGACUGUAACUGACGUUGAGGCUCGAAAGCGUGGGGAGCAAACAGGAUUAGAUACCCGGGUAA
Molecule: ribosomal RNA, 447 nt
Filed under: uncultured bacterium
Lineage: Bacteria
Description: bacterial SSU rRNA
Rfam family: Bacterial small subunit ribosomal RNA
Source: RNAcentral